AAAAUCCGUCGACUNUANAAAUCGUGAGGGUUCAAGUCCCUCUAUCCCCA
RNAcentral lists this transfer RNA (50 nucleotides) under Primulina flavimaculata. RNAcentral's name for it is "partial tRNA-Leu". Lineage: Eukaryota; Viridiplantae; Streptophyta; Magnoliopsida; Lamiales; Gesneriaceae. The record is from RNAcentral.